Molecule: transfer RNA, 72 nt
Filed under: Camelus bactrianus (Bactrian camel)
Lineage: Eukaryota; Metazoa; Chordata; Mammalia; Artiodactyla; Camelidae
Also listed under: 2 other names
Rfam family: tRNA
About the family: Transfer RNA (tRNA) molecules are approximately 80 nucleotides in length. Their secondary structure includes four short double-helical elements and three loops (D, anti-codon, and T loops).
Source: Rfam by way of RNAcentral
CGGGGUAUGGCUCGGUGGUAGAGCACGUGAUUAGCAUGCACAAGGUCCUGGGUUCAAUCCCUGGUACCCCAA